UAAAUCCCCAACCCCACCUGCGUUCUUUUUCAGGAUCUACUGCCACCUUUUCCUGGUGAAGGUCUUCAGAUUCAAUAGCUGUGGUUCCUGCUGCUCUUAAAAACCACUGAGAAAAUUUGUCACAGAAACCAGAUAAGAAAGCUGGAUAAAAAGAUCAUCCUAAGUUGACUGUUUACAGAGACUAAUAAAAGACAGAGAUUAUUCUUGUGGAUGGAAAUCAGAAAGUAGAUGUCUCUGUUCGAGUGGAAUUGAGUGGAAAAUGGAGCGAGGCACCUUCCUGAGAUUGAAAUGAAGAAGUUAGAGCUCAACACAGAGAAGACCCACUACAUCAAGACUUCAUUAAAAUCUCCAGUUCUUUCCAACUUAUACUGCAAUUACUAACUUAAUGAACAAAGAUCCAGGCAUUGAGGCAUAUGUCUGUAGUUCUGGCACCAAGGAGGCAGAAGAACACCAGACUCAGAGAGCACCUUGAGAUUCAUGGAGAAUGAGAAGUGGGAACAGAAAGGCCAUCACUAACCUACUGGCUCAGAAGAAUGCUAGGACCAAGUCCAGAGAGAGAUUCAUUCUGAAGUUCUGGCACAAUGAAGGAGCUGCUUCCCUUUCCCAACUGUACGUUCGUGAUUACUCUGUGAAACAAGCUCUUCAAUACACUCCCUAUUUCCACUCCUGGGUUAUGCUACCCACUAAAUUGUAUUUUCAACAAAAUAUCUCCC
Molecule: small RNA, 713 nt
Filed under: Rattus norvegicus (Norway rat)
Lineage: Eukaryota; Metazoa; Chordata; Mammalia; Rodentia; Muridae
Description: uncharacterized LOC102547285
Source: RNAcentral